UAGGGAAUAUUCCGCAAUGGACGCAAGUCUGACGGAGCAACGCCGCGUGAGUGAAGAAGGAUUUCGGUUCGUAAAACUCUGUUGUUAGAGAAGAACAGCGCAUAGAGUAACUGUUAUGCGUGUGACGGUAUCUAACCAGAAAGCCACGGCUAACUACGUGCCAGCAGCCGCGGUAAUACGUAGGUGGCAAGCGUUGUCCGGAUUUAUUGGGCGUAAAGCGAGCGCAGGCGGUCAAUUCAGUCUGAUGUGAAAGCCCCCGGCUCAACCGGGGAGGGUCAUUGGAAACUGGUUGACUUGAGUGCAGAAGAGGAGAGUGGAAUUCCAUGUGUAGCGGUGAAAUGCGUAGAUAUAUGGAGGAACACCAGUGGCGAAGGCGACUCUCUGGUCUGUAACUGACGCUGAGGUUCGAAAGCGUGGGUAGCAAACAGG
This 429-nucleotide ribosomal RNA is filed under the name Bacteroidota bacterium. RNAcentral describes it as "Bacteroidetes bacterium partial 16S ribosomal RNA". It matches the Rfam family "Bacterial small subunit ribosomal RNA", at positions 355 to 776 of the family's 1533-position model. Lineage: Bacteria; Pseudomonadati; Bacteroidota. The record is from RNAcentral.